RNAcentral lists this long non-coding RNA (1221 nucleotides) under Gossypium barbadense (sea-island cotton). RNAcentral's name for it is "long non-coding RNA (GBAR_LNC018244)". Lineage: Eukaryota; Viridiplantae; Streptophyta; Magnoliopsida; Malvales; Malvaceae. The record is from RNAcentral.
AAUCUAAAAAGAGGCUAAAUCAAAUUGAACACGAAAGGGGAAGGACCAAAGAAACAAAUAUCCCCGCUAUAGUAGAAAACGCAGGUUUGGUCGGGUUCUGGGUCAGGUCACACGGGUUAUUGGGUUACAUUAAAAUGGCGCCGUUUUUCAAACCAGAUAAAAUCCCCUUUUUCAAACCCUAAAUGAAAACCCUAUUCAAUUUGCAACCACAACAGCCGCAAGGUCCAACCCCUUCUCCUGCUCCUCACGCCGAAGUCAGCAAGAAUGCCGACGGCGCGCCUCUGCCGGUAAGAAACUUCUCCUUUUCCCUUGUUAUUUCGUUUAUUUGUUUUUAAAAACAAGGAAGAAAAUAAAAAAGGAACAAAACAGUAAAGAGAAAGGAAAAACGGAACCAAUCUCAAUACCUUCAAAACUUUUUUUUUAUUCUCUGUUUUUGCUUUCUUCAAUCUUUUGAUACAAAGAAUUUUUUCCUCUCUUUCGUAUCUUCCCCCCCUUGAUACAGAUUUUCAUCGGCUUUAUAUAGCCGAUUAACACCAAAAAUCUGAAAAAAAAAAAUCAAAAACCCCACUUCUUUCCAUUAUUUGCUGCGCUUGUGUCCCCCUUUUUCACAGGUUUGGUGACCGUGGAGUGCGCGCGACGAGCGCGGAGCGACAAGCGCGGCGUGUGGGCGCUGUUGCGGCGUGCGUGUGGGAGCUGCUGCGCCUAGGGUUCCUGCUGGUGUUUUGGGCUAGCAAGCUUGGUUUAGUAACUUGGGCCAUUGGGUUUCAAUUAUUGGGUUUUAGUUUACAUUUGUUUUUUUAUUUGUAUAUGGGCUGCGUUUAGUAGGUUGGGUCUGAUGUAUAUUUAUUUGGGCCGGGCAUAUUUGGGCUUAUACAGGUUGAAUUUUAUAAUUAAAAAACUACUAUUACCACUCAACAGCAAAAUAAUAAAUUAAAGAAAUAAUCCAAUUGACAAGAUCAAUUGCCGAACAUCAUACGAAGGAACGUUCAAACAUGAACAAAUAAAAAUCAAGGAUGAAAAAUUUGUGUUUUCUAUUAAUAUUGUGGGUCUAAAACGAGAUGUCAAGUCCUUUUUCAAUAGCAUGUAAUGUAAGUGAUUAAUAUUGACACUAAUGUUUGAAUGAAGCAACCCUUUGAAAUUGUAAUUUCAUUGGAAUUUGGAAUUGUUUCACGAUUUAAUGUUUGUAUUGAUGCUCUUUAAAAAAGUUUUGGUGAAUCAUCA